This 1674-nucleotide ribosomal RNA is filed under the name Salmonella enterica. RNAcentral's name for it is "partial 23S ribosomal RNA". It matches the Rfam family "Bacterial large subunit ribosomal RNA", at positions 1273 to 2925 of the family's 2925-position model. RNAcentral also lists the same sequence under 1 other name. Lineage: Bacteria; Pseudomonadati; Pseudomonadota; Gammaproteobacteria; Enterobacterales; Enterobacteriaceae. The record is from RNAcentral.
CUGGAGGUAUCAGAAGUGCGAAUGCUGACAUAAGUAACGAUAAAGCGGGUGAAAAGCCCGCUCGCCGGAAGACCAAGGGUUCCUGUCCAACGUUAAUCGGGGCAGGGUGAGUCGACCCCUAAGGCGAGGCCGAAAGGCGUAGUCGAUGGGAAACGGGUUAAUAUUCCCGUACUUGGUGUUACUGCGAAGGGGGGACGGAGAAGGCUAUGUUGGCCGGGCGACGGUUGUCCCGGUUUAAGCGUGUAGGUGUGUGUUCCAGGUAAAUCCGGUUCACUUUAACACUGAGGCGUGAUGACGAGGCACUACGGUGCUGAAGCAACAAAUGCCCUGCUUCCAGGAAAAGCCUCUAAGCAUCAGGUAACAUCAAAUCGUACCCCAAACCGACACAGGUGGUCAGGUAGAGAAUACCAAGGCGCUUGAGAGAACUCGGGUGAAGGAACUAGGCAAAAUGGUGCCGUAACUUCGGGAGAAGGCACGCUGACACGUAGGUGAAGUGAUUUACUCAUGGAGCUGAAGUCAGUCGAAGAUACCAGCUGGCUGCAACUGUUUAUUAAAAACACAGCACUGUGCAAACACGAAAGUGGACGUAUACGGUGUGACGCCUGCCCGGUGCCGGAAGGUUAAUUGAUGGGGUCAGCGCAAGCGAAGCUCCUGAUCGAAGCCCCGGUAAACGGCGGCCGUAACUAUAACGGUCCUAAGGUAGCGAAAUUCCUUGUCGGGUAAGUUCCGACCUGCACGAAUGGCGUAAUGAUGGCCAGGCUGUCUCCACCCGAGACUCAGUGAAAUUGAACUCGCUGUGAAGAUGCAGUGUACCCGCGGCAAGACGGAAAGACCCCGUGAACCUUUACUAUAGCUUGACACUGAACAUUGAGCCUUGAUGUGUAGGAUAGGUGGGAGGCUUUGAAGUGUGGACGCCAGUCUGCAUGGAGCCGGCCUUGAAAUACCACCCUUUAAUGUUUGAUGUUCUAACGUGGACCCGUGAUCCGGGUUGCGGACAGUGUCUGGUGGGUAGUUUGACUGGGGCGGUCUCCUCCUAAAGAGUAACGGAGGAGCACGAAGGUUGGCUAAUCCUGGUCGGACAUCAGGAGGUUAGUGCAAUGGCAUAAGCCAGCUUGACUGCGAGCGUGACGGCGCGAGCAGGUGCGAAAGCAGGUCAUAGUGAUCCGGUGGUUCUGAAUGGAAGGGCCAUCGCUCAACGGAUAAAAGGUACUCCGGGGAUAACAGGCUGAUACCGCCCAAGAGUUCAUAUCGACGGCGGUGUUUGGCACCUCGAUGUCGGCUCAUCACAUCCUGGGGCUGAAGUAGGUCCCAAGGGUAUGGCUGUUCGCCAUUUAAAGUGGUACGCGAGCUGGGUUUAGAACGUCGUGAGACAGUUCGGUCCCUAUCUGCCGUGGGCGCUGGAGAACUGAGGGGGGCUGCUCCUAGUACGAGAGGACCGGAGUGGACGCAUCACUGGUGUUCGGGUUGUCAUGCCAAUGGCACUGCCCGGUAGCUAAAUGCGGAAGAGAUAAGUGCUGAAAGCAUCUAAGCACGAAACUUGCCCCGAGAUGAGUUCUCCCUGAGACUUUAGGUCUCCUGAAGGAACGUUGAAGACGACGACGUUGAUAGGCCGGGUGUGUAAGCGCAGCGAUGCGUUGAGCUAACCGGUACUAAUGAACCGUGAGGCUUAACCUU